This 231-nucleotide ribosomal RNA is filed under the name uncultured Alicycliphilus sp. RNAcentral's name for it is "partial 16S ribosomal RNA". It matches the Rfam family "Bacterial small subunit ribosomal RNA", at positions 550 to 774 of the family's 1533-position model. The record is from RNAcentral. Lineage: Bacteria; Pseudomonadati; Pseudomonadota; Betaproteobacteria; Burkholderiales; Comamonadaceae.
AGAUCAUCACUGGGUAUAAAGGGUGCGCAGGCGGUUUUGUAAGACAGAGGUGAAAUCCCCGGGCUCAACCUGGGAACUGCCUUUGUGACUGCAAGGCUGGAGUGCGGCAGAGGGGGAGUGGAAUUCCGCGUGUAGCAGUGAAAUGCGUAGAUAUGCGGAGGAACACCGAUGGCGAAGGCAAUCCCCUGGGCCUGCACGGACGCUCAUGCACGAAAGCGUGGGGAGCAAACA